Molecule: long non-coding RNA, 430 nt
Organism: Fundulus heteroclitus (mummichog)
Lineage: Eukaryota; Metazoa; Chordata; Actinopteri; Cyprinodontiformes; Fundulidae
Exons: 2
Source: RefSeq, a predicted model, not a curated record
CUGCCAGCCGGAAUUCCUGAUUAAUCUCUGGAUUUUUCAGCCUGCUCACCCUGGACUGCCUGCCUGUUGCCUGAACCCCGCUCGUCUGUGAUUACUGAGCUUGCCUUUACCCUGCUGACCACUAGCUACUGAACUCGGACCGGACCUGGAUAAAGCCUCUGGAUUUCCCUGUCGGAACCCUUUCUGGAUUUCUGCCUUCCCGAUCUCGGACCUUGGACCGUCACUGGACAAUCGUCUCUGAAAAGCCCCUUACGAACCACGCCGCCUCACAAGCAAGCGGACUUCGGCUCCCGCCCAGCUCUCCUGCUCCCCAGUAGUCAUUCCUGGCUCAGCUACACCGACUUCAGGAGUUUAUCAGACCAGACGAGAACCUUGGCGUAGAGAGAAACCGCGACUACUUCCUGCUUUGCAAUAAAUUCUUUAAACGUCA